This 758-nucleotide ribosomal RNA is filed under the name uncultured Lysobacteraceae bacterium. RNAcentral's name for it is "bacterial SSU rRNA". It matches the Rfam family "Bacterial small subunit ribosomal RNA", at positions 18 to 771 of the family's 1533-position model. Lineage: Bacteria; Pseudomonadati; Pseudomonadota; Gammaproteobacteria; Lysobacterales; Lysobacteraceae. The record is from RNAcentral.
CCUGGCUCAGAGUGAACGCUGGCGGCAUGCCUAACACAUGCAAGUCGAACGGUAACAGGCCCGCAAGGGUGCUGACGAGUGGCGGACGGGUGAGGAAUACAUCGGAAUCUGCCCGGUUGUGGGGGAUAACGUAGGGAAACUUACGCUAAUACCGCAUACGACCGAGAGGUGAAAGCGGGGGAUCGCAAGACCUCGCGCGAUCGGAUGAGCCGAUGUCGGAUUAGCUAGUUGGCGGGGUAAAGGCCCACCAAGGCGACGAUCCGUAGCUGGUCUGAGAGGAUGAUCAGCCACACUGGGACUGAGACACGGCCCAGACUCCUACGGGAGGCAGCAGUGGGGAAUAUUGGACAAUGGGGGCAACCCUGAUCCAGCAAUGCCGCGUGUGUGAAGAAGGCCUUCGGGUUGUAAAGCACUUUUAUCCGGAACGAAACGCACUGGGUGAAUAUCCCGGUGAACUGACGGUACCGGAGGAAUAAGCACCGGCUAACUACGUGCCAGCAGCCGCGGUAAUACGAAGGGUGCAAGCGUUACUCGGAAUUACUGGGCGUAAAGCGUGCGUAGGUGGUUUUUUAAGUCUGCUGUGAAAGCCCCGGGCUCAACCUGGGAAUGGCAGUGGAUACUGGAAGGCUAGAGUGCGGUAGAGGGUAGUGGAAUUCCCGGUGUAGCGGUGAAAUGCGUAGAGAUCGGGAGGAACACCAGUGGCGAAGGCGGCUACCUGGACCAGCACUGACACUGAGGCACGAAAGCGUGGGGAGCAA